This is a non-coding RNA of 468 nucleotides. It matches the Rfam family "Bacterial large subunit ribosomal RNA", at positions 857 to 1290 of the family's 2925-position model.
CGCCGCCGGGUCCGGUCGACCACGCCGUGCGCUCACGCGUCGGCGGCGAUUGCUGGAUGGCCUAGGGGGCCUACAAGCUUACCGAAGUCAGCCAAACUCCGAAUGCCGGUGUGUGAGAGCGUGGCAGUGAGACUGCGGGGGAUAAGCUUCGUAGUCGAGAGGGAAACAGCCCAGAUCGCCGGCUAAGGCCCCUAAGCGUGUACUAAGUGGAAAAGGAUGUGGGGUCGCUUAGACAACCAGGAGGUUGGCUUAGAAGCAGCCACCCUUGAAAGAGUGCGUAAUAGCUCACUGGUCAAGUGAUCCUGCGCCGACAAUGUAGCGGGGCUCAAGUACACCGCCGAAGCCGCGGCAUUCACGCAAUAGCCCGUCCCAGCUGUAGUGGUUGGGGCCAGGUGUGUGGAUGGGUAGGGGAGCGUCCUGUGGCCGUGGAAGCAGCAGUGUGAACUAGCUGUGGAGGCCAUGGGAGUG